AAGCGAUAUAAGAACGCAGUUCAUCCAGCCACGUAAAACGACUUGGUCAGGAAUACCUUACCAAUGUACACAAAAAACUCCUUUCUUUUGUUAUGUUGGCUAGCCCGAUGUUGAAAUUGGAUAUGAAUAGGGUUAUGAUUAUAUUAUAUAGUAAAAAGUUUUAUAGUAAAAACACGAUAGAAGAAAUAUUAGAAUUUUAUGUCAAAUUGCAUGUUCCGAUGCACAUUUUUUUAUCAAAAAUAAACCAAAAGAGUACGAGUAUACAGAAGCGGAUUAUCCUUCAGGAAAACUAGGCACGUGAAUAAGGGCUUGAAGUUACAAAUGAGUGCGCGCACCGAAUUUUUAAACAAAAAAGAGUAACAUAAAAUUAUUUGUUAGAUCAAACAAACGUGCGGCUUACUGGCUGGAAAGGGUCUUACAUGAUCAUCUAAAAUAAAAAAAAAAUAUAUAAGAAAAGAAAGAUAAUUUUUGAAAGGUUUUUGUAUCCCUAUUCAAUUAUAUAUUUCAUGCCAGGGAGGGGUCCUGGUGCCUUGUGAUACGGGUUCUUCGGAUAACCAGUUUAGGCACCAGUUCUUUGCAACUUUAAUGUAUCUAUGGUAUUAUUAUAAAUGAUUCAUUGUACUCAAAAAAGUUGUCAGAUAAAUAAACAUUAUUAUAUAUAGUUUGUCUUUCAUUUCUCCUUUACUGACAUUGACGAUUUUAGUGACGCUUCCAAGAUUAAAUACGACCUUACAUUUUAGAUUAUAACUAAGACCAAUUUACGUCACGCAAUUGAAUAGAAAAUCCAAACAAUUACAAUAUGUUUUAAUCAUUAAUUUUGAUUUCGAUCUUAAUUACUAAAAAUAUAUUGUACUUGUUUGUAGAAAUAUCUAGUACAGUCAGCAUUAAAAUUAAAGAGAUAUUCGUGAGUAAUGUAUUUUUUGUUUAAUGGAAAUGGAGAUGAAAAUGAAUGGAGGUUCCAUUAUUAACAUUCCCCUUC
This is a long non-coding RNA of Galleria mellonella (greater wax moth), 979 nucleotides long. RefSeq lists it as uncharacterized. NCBI's taxonomy places the organism in Eukaryota, Metazoa, Arthropoda, Insecta, Lepidoptera, Pyralidae. The record is from RefSeq and is a predicted model, not a curated record. The transcript has 3 exons.